RNAcentral lists this ribosomal RNA (468 nucleotides) under uncultured bacterium. RNAcentral describes it as "partial 16S ribosomal RNA". It matches the Rfam family "Bacterial small subunit ribosomal RNA", at positions 28 to 507 of the family's 1533-position model. The record is from RNAcentral.
GACGAACGCUGGCGGCGUGCUUAACACAUGCAAGUCGAACGGAAAGGCCCUGCUUUUGUGGGGUGCUCGAGUGGCGAACGGGUGAGUAACACGUGAGUAACCUGCCCUUGACUUUGGGAUAACUUCAGGAAACUGGGGCUAAUACCGGAUAGGAGCUCCUGCUGCAUGGUGGGGGUUGGAAAGUUUCGGCGGUUGGGGAUGGACUCGCGGCUUAUCAGCUUGUUGGUGGGGUAGUGGCUUACCAAGGCUUUGACGGGUAGCCGGCCUGAGAGGGUGACCGGCCACAUUGGGACUGAGAUACGGCCCAGACUCCUACGGGAGGUAGCAGUGGGGAAUAUUGCACAAUGGGCGGAAGCCUGAUGCACCAACGCCGCGUGCGGGAUGACGGCCUUCGGGUUGUAAACCGCUUUCGCCUGUGACGAAGCGUGAGUGACGGUAAUGGGUAAAGAAGCACCGGCUAACUACGUG